UUAGUACUCCCUCCAUCCAACAAAGAAUGUCUCAAUUUUGACUAAAUUUGAAUGCAUCUAUACAUUAAAUCAUGUUUAGAUACAUUUAAUUUUUGACAAACUUAAGACAUCUUUUGUUGGACGGAGGAAGCACACA
Molecule: non-coding RNA, 136 nt
Organism: Brachypodium distachyon (stiff brome)
Lineage: Eukaryota; Viridiplantae; Streptophyta; Magnoliopsida; Poales; Poaceae
Source: Rfam